Molecule: non-coding RNA, 576 nt
Organism: Pimephales promelas (fathead minnow)
Lineage: Eukaryota; Metazoa; Chordata; Actinopteri; Cypriniformes; Leuciscidae
Source: RefSeq, a predicted model, not a curated record
UAGUUUAAAUGUAAAAAGCUGAAAAAUAAAAAUGGUAUAGUAAAAAAUAAACUAGUCACAAACUAUGGUUUUGGUUUUUAGGAGACACUUUGACAAGUGGACACUGGAAGGCCAAGUUGUGUGUGAGGAGAGCAGUCAGCCCACCUUCCUGUCUGGCCUUGCUGUUCACUGCAUACAUAAUCAAGGAGGCAUGCACCAUGGAGUUCAUUUAAAGGUGCUUUGUAUGUAUCAAUCCGGAGAGAGGAACAAAGAAGAAAAUUGCCAUCUUAAAUGAUAGGCCAAAUGGUACAGAAGAAACAGGUUGCAGUGAACCCACAUAUUGCAGCAAAGUGACACUCUUUGCAUCAUGUGAUGGAAAAUCAUCUGGAGCUGAAUUAUUCUCCAUUUUUGAUAAUAAGUUUGUUGGACUCACUUGGGGUCUUGUUGUUUGGACAUGUUUGUCUGGUAAUGAAGUGGUGAAAAUUGUCCGUAAACUAUUUUAUUAUGAUCAUGUUGGUUAACUUGUGGUUUCAAAUGUAUGUCGUUUGCGUAUUUCUUCUUUGUGAAGGGCCAUGACGGCUAAUUUGUUUCAAGUAA